GCGGACGUGGUGAAAUUGGUAUACACGCCAGAUUUAGGUUCUGGUACCGCAAGGUGUGAGAGUUCGAGUCUCUCCGUCCGCACCA
Molecule: transfer RNA, 85 nt
Filed under: Reinekea forsetii
Lineage: Bacteria; Pseudomonadati; Pseudomonadota; Gammaproteobacteria; Oceanospirillales; Saccharospirillaceae
Also listed under: 2 other names
Description: tRNA-Leu
Rfam family: tRNA
About the family: Transfer RNA (tRNA) molecules are approximately 80 nucleotides in length. Their secondary structure includes four short double-helical elements and three loops (D, anti-codon, and T loops). Further hydrogen bonds mediate the characteristic L-shaped molecular structure. tRNAs have two regions of fundamental functional importance: the anti-codon, which is responsible for specific mRNA codon recognition, and the 3' end, to which the tRNAs corresponding amino acid is attached (by aminoacyl-tRNA synthetases). tRNAs cope with the degeneracy of the genetic code in two manners: having more than one tRNA (with a specific anti-codon) for a particular amino acid; and 'wobble' base-pairing, i.e. permitting non-standard base-pairing at the 3rd anti-codon position.
Source: RNAcentral